GGGGGAAACGUCACCGGGUCCGCCUCGCACCGGGAAAGAUGCUGCACACUUUUGCUGCCCGAUAAGAGAGGGUUUUCCUUUUUUUCCUCACGCGGGGCGGCGGUUAACACGCGUGGACAGCACGAUUACACACGUUUCGAUCCUUGCGAAAAUUGCGAUAAAACACUCGAGUUUUCUGCCACGGUACACAAAAACACCACCGCACACCGCACACCAGUUCAGGUAACGCAGAUGAAACACGUCGUCAGUGGUUCUUCCCUCCCGGCACUAGUACGGAAAAACGAUCCCAUAGUAUGUUUGUCGUGAUUUUUUUUUCUUCCAGCUCCAGCUAUUGUAUGUCCCUUUUGUUCCGUUUUUUUUUCGUUCGCGUUCCCACCCGGUACUACGAAUAUGACCGUGACCGUGCGUGUGUAUUGUUUCUCACCCGUUUUCCAAACAACACGGAAAAUGUUGUUGUGGAACACGCAAUCGGUAUGGAAGUGGUUGAGAGAGGGAGAGGGAAACAGGAUGGAAGCGGGCAACUGUCAAAGUUGCUCUCGUUUUGUUUUUCGCCCCAGAUGGUUGUUUUCGCCCUGGCCGAAUGGGGCGGAAUUGGAUGUUGUUGUGCAAAGAAAAACCGUUGAUAUUUUAAGGGAGUUUUGGAAAGAUUUUUGAAAUUUAGAGUGUUUCACUCGCGUCGGGGCAUUUUGUUCAGAAAUACUAAACUCGAAUUUGAUACCUAAAUUUAUUAUAGAAUACUCUACACAGUAAUGUAUGCAUCAUUUCCUCGAGGUUUUAGAUUAAAUUAUCCCUGAACUGUUCUUAACCUGAAAAUAACUUGAAGGCCAUUGGAAGUACUAAGUAGUAAUUUUGUAGCUUUCCCGUAUUCUAUCAAGAUCACACACUUUCCUAUUCUUUAGACUACGAUUGAAAUCGACUAGAAUCGCAAGACCCGUUGCAUUGAAUUAAGGAUCAAUCCGAUGUCGGAGGGUCUGAACGCGAAAAGAGGCCGAUCCUGAAGCGUAGCAUCGGUUCAAGGUGAAGGUCUUGCGGUGAUACAAGUGUUUAGAUACCUACACGCAGGUGUCAACCGCACCUGGAAUGUGCUAGUCAUCGACCCAGAUCUGCUGGAGAUCGAUUGAAACAGUAGUAGGAUCCUCAGAAACGAAUUUGACAAGAUCUUCAAAGACUUUCACUACAACAUACUCAACCAUAAGUGGCCCAAGCAGAAUAAGACAAAGGAAGCAAAAAACGAAACCAAAAGUACGAUUUAAAAUAGUAUAAGUUUUAAAUAUGUUAUAGCCUUUAUUCGUCAGGGUGUUUUCCGACCAUUCAUAUUGCAUUUGGGGAAAUAUCGGCGUCAUCCAUGUACGGGGCAUCUUUUAAUUCUCUCUCCCUCUCUCUCGUUCGUUGCACGCUUCACGAUUCAACCCUUAUCGCGACGCUAAACUUAUCAAAUCCUCAGAAUUUUCUUCUUUAUUUCACCGCACUGCAACUACACUAUACAAACAAUCGGUAGCCCCACUCUCAUCACAGCGGACCAGUAGUUUCCCCGGUUUUCCUUCUCUCGCUCUCUACAAAACUGAUGAUUUGAUCCUGUGCUUUGUGCUUGACUUGAGGAAUAUUUAACACGAGAUGCGAAUAUGCCAUGCCAGUCCCUCUCGCUCGCGGUACAAAAAGCGUUUUAAAGCAAUCUCUAGAUUUCCGUUUGCGCUCCACUCUAUCUGCAUGCUUUGGUUUCUAACUAAAGCUGUUUUAUGUGUGUUUUGCUGUGUUUUUUUUUAUUAUUUACGCUAUUGGAUGGUCCUUCUUAAUAUGUGCGAUCACUCUCACCGUUUAACGUUACCUUUUAAACCCCAUUCCAGUAGUCCAUCGAGCCAAUUUUCCAUUUCGAUAGCAUGAUUUUGCAUAAGCGUACGUAUGGGGAAGAUGAGGCUUUUGAGGCUAACGGGGAAAUGUGAUUUCACGGCCAUUUAUAUUUAUGGAGUAUUGUUUUUUUUUCCUGCAGGGAACCAAUGAGUGCACGAGUGUUCGAUUGCUUCGAAAAAAUUGCUUCCACACCAUCAUCAUCGUCAGUGCGAUGUGCAAAACACGGUGCAACAAAAAAGGGAUCUGAUUAAGCCCUUUCCGUACUGCGAUGCAUAUAUAUGUGGGUGUACGUACGUAUGUAUAUGUAUAUGGAUAUAUUCUUUUCUUAAAUACAUGCACGAUGCAAGAGCUGCUGUAUUUGCGCCACCGUCGGGUUUCAGUUCCAAUUUGCAUAGCAUCCGUCCUUCAGAGAGCGUGCCACCGUGGUCGGUGCGUGGUUUCCUUUUUUUU
Molecule: long non-coding RNA, 2298 nt
Organism: Anopheles stephensi (Asian malaria mosquito)
Lineage: Eukaryota; Metazoa; Arthropoda; Insecta; Diptera; Culicidae
Exons: 2
Source: RefSeq, a predicted model, not a curated record